GGAUGCGAUCAUACCAGCACUAAAGCACCGGAUCCAUCAGAACUCCGAAGUUAAGCGUGCUUGGGCGAGAGUAGUACUAGGAUGGGUGACCUCCUGGGAAGUCCUCGUGUUGCAUUCC
This 118-nucleotide ribosomal RNA is filed under the name Panicum miliaceum (proso millet). The record is from RNAcentral. Lineage: Eukaryota; Viridiplantae; Streptophyta; Magnoliopsida; Poales; Poaceae. RNAcentral also lists the same sequence under 3 other names.